Molecule: long non-coding RNA, 451 nt
Organism: Eriocheir sinensis (Chinese mitten crab)
Lineage: Eukaryota; Metazoa; Arthropoda; Malacostraca; Decapoda; Varunidae
Exons: 3
Source: RefSeq, a predicted model, not a curated record
CACACCACUGGUGUUAAUGGAGAGGUGCGAGUUUACUAUACCACCCCUCCUUAACACACACACACACACACACACACACACACACACACACACACACACACACACACACACACACACACACACCACUGGUGUUAAUGGAGAGGUGCGAGUUUAUUACACCACCCCUCCUUAACACACACACACACACACACACACACACACACACACACACACACACACACACACACACACACACUCCACUGGUGUUAAUGGAGAGGUGCGAGUUUAUUACACCACCCCUCCUUAACACACACACACACACACACACACACACACUCCACUGGUGUUAAUGGAGAGGUGCGAGUUUAUUACACCACCCCUCCUUAACACACACACACACACACACACACACACACACACACACACACACACACACACACACACACACACACACACACACUCACACACACAC